This 889-nucleotide ribosomal RNA is filed under the name uncultured Actinomycetes bacterium. RNAcentral's name for it is "bacterial SSU rRNA". It matches the Rfam family "Bacterial small subunit ribosomal RNA", at positions 28 to 918 of the family's 1533-position model. Lineage: Bacteria; Bacillati; Actinomycetota; Actinomycetes. The record is from RNAcentral.
GACGAACGCUGGCGGCGUGCUUAACACAUGCAAGUCGAACGAAGUCCAACCAGUGGCAACACCGGAGAAGACUUAGUGGCGAACGGGUGAGUAACACGUGAGAAACCUACCCCGGAGUCUGGGAUAAGCCCUCGAAAGGGGGUCUAAUACCGGAUAUCCCCUCCACAUCGCAUGGUGAGGAGAGGAAGGUUCAGGCGCUUCGGGACGGUCUCGCGGCCUAUCAGCUUGUGGGUGAGGUAACGGCUCACCAAGGCAACGACGGGUAGCUGGUCUGAGAGGACGAUCAGCCACACUGGGACUGAGACACGGCCCAGACUCCUACGGGAGGCAGCAGUGGGGAAUCUUGCGCAAUGGGCGAAAGCCUGACGCAGCAACGCCGCGUGCGGGAUGAAGGCCUUCGGGUCGUAAACCGCUUUCAGUAGGGACGAACUCAGACGGUACCUACAGAAGAAGCACCGGCCAACUACGUGCCAGCAGCCGCGGUAAUACGUAGGGUGCGAGCGUUGUCCGGAAUUAUUGGGCGUAAAGGGCUCGUAGGCGGUUUGUCGCGUCGGGAGUGAAAACCCAGGGCUUAACUCUGGGCUUGCUUCCGAUACGGGCUGACUAGAGGUAUGCAGGGGAGAACGGAAUUCCUGGUGUAGCGGUGAAAUGCGCAGAUAUCAGGAGGAACACCGGUGGCGAAGGCGGUUCUCUGGGCAUUACCUGACGCUGAGGAGCGAAAGUGUGGGGAGCGAACAGGAUUAGAUACCCUGGUAGUCCACACCGUAAACGUUGGGCGCUAGGUGUGGGACUCAUUCCACGAGUUCCCGUGCCGCAGCUUAACGCAUUAAGCGCCUCCGCCUGGUGGAGUUACGGCCGCAAGGCUAAAACCUCAAAUGAAUUGACGGGG